Molecule: ribosomal RNA, 161 nt
Filed under: Hunnemannia hintoniorum
Lineage: Eukaryota; Viridiplantae; Streptophyta; Magnoliopsida; Ranunculales; Papaveraceae
Description: 5.8S ribosomal RNA
Rfam family: 5.8S ribosomal RNA
About the family: 5.8S ribosomal RNA (5.8S rRNA) is a component of the large subunit of the eukaryotic ribosome. It is transcribed by RNA polymerase I as part of the 45S precursor that also contains 18S and 28S rRNA.
Source: RNAcentral
GAACGACUCUCGGCAACGGAUAUCUCGGCUCUCGCAUCGAUGAAGAACGUAGCGAAAUGCGAUACUUGGUGUGAAUUGCAGAAUCCCGUGAACCAUCGAGUUUUUGAACGCAAGUUGCGCCCUAGGCCUUCCGGCCGAGGGCACGCCUGCCUGGGCGUCAC